RNAcentral lists this ribosomal RNA (449 nucleotides) under uncultured bacterium. RNAcentral describes it as "partial 16S ribosomal RNA". It matches the Rfam family "Bacterial small subunit ribosomal RNA", at positions 338 to 795 of the family's 1533-position model. The record is from RNAcentral.
CCUACGGGGGGCUGCAGUGGGGAAUAUUGGACAAUGGGCGCAAGCCUGAUCCAGCAAUGCCGCGUGUGUGAAGAAGGCCUUAGGGUUGUAAAGCACUUUCAGCAAUGAAGAAGUUGUAUUGGCUAAUAUCCAAUAUAAUUGACGUUAGUUGCAGAAGAAGUACUGGCUAACUCUGUGCCAGCAGCCGCGGUAAUACAGAGAGUGCAAGCGGUAAUCGAAGUUAUUGGGGGUGUUGAAAAAGUUAGUUGUUAAAUCCCUGGGCUUAACCUAGGAAUUGCAUUUAAUACUUUUUAUCUAGAGUAUUGUAGGGGGAAGUGGAAUUUCCGGUGUAGCGGUGAAAUGCGUAGAUAUCGGAAGGAACACCAGUGGCGAAGGCGACUUCCUGGACAAAUACUGACACUGAGACACGAAAGCGUGGGGAGCAAACAGGAUUAGAUACCCGAGUAGUC